GGAGUAAUAGCCUACCAAGGCAAUGAUCUAUAGCUGAUCUGAGAGGAUGAUCAGCCACACUGGAACUGAGAUACGGUCCAGACUCCUACGGGAGGCAGCAGUGGGGAAUAUUGGACAAUGGGCGAAAGCCUGAUCCAGCCAUGCCGCAUGAGUGAAGAAGGCCUUUGGGUUGUAAAGCUCUUUUAGUGAGGAAGAUAAUGACGGUACUCACAGAAGAAGUCCUGGCUAACUCCGUGCCAGCAGCCGCGGUAAUACGGAGAGGGCUAGCGUUAUUCGGAAUUAUUGGGCGUAAAGGGCGCGUAGGCUGGUUAAUAAGUUAAAAGUGAAAUCCCGAGGCUUAACCUUGGAAUUGCUUUUAAAACUAUUAAUCUAGAGAUUGAAAGAGGAUAGAGGAAUUCCUGAUGUAGAGGUAAAAUUCGUAAAUAUUAGGAGGAACACCAGUGGCGAAGGCGUCUAUCUGGUUCAAAUCUGACGCUGAAGCGCGAAGGCGUGGGGAGCAAACAGGAUUAGAUACCCUGGUAGUCCACGCUGUAAACGAUGAAUGUUAAAUAUGGGAAGUUUACUU
This 565-nucleotide ribosomal RNA is filed under the name Wolbachia endosymbiont of Harmonia axyridis. RNAcentral's name for it is "bacterial SSU rRNA". It matches the Rfam family "Bacterial small subunit ribosomal RNA", at positions 254 to 839 of the family's 1533-position model. The record is from RNAcentral. Lineage: Bacteria; Pseudomonadati; Pseudomonadota; Alphaproteobacteria; Rickettsiales; Anaplasmataceae.